UUUUUUUUUCUUUUGGGGUCUGUUCGUUUGUUUUUUCUUGAAGAUGUCAUAGUGCCAAUUCCUUCACCUUUGUGGUGGAGGUAUGGUCACAAUUUUAGGCCACACCUUUUCUCUCUGGGCGUUUUGCCAUUUGCUCCUUCAUAAAUCCAUUUCCUCCAUUCUGACUUCCUCCCCUCUCCCCCGCUGCAACCCUCCCGUCAUCCUUCCAGAGCUUCAAAAGACUCUGGAAUCUGCCCUUGACCAGGUGGGUUCGAAAGGUAGCUCCUGAGUCGUGCCAAAUGACAGCCUUUGUUUGACUUAUUUUUGGCUUACAAAACCUGGAGCUCCUCUCGAGCAAAGUGUUUGUGCUCGCCUUUUUACCCAAUGUUUUAGCCAUUCAGAAUGUCAAUAAUUUAAGACAACGCUGGGGCCCGGGAGUAUCUGUUUAUGUAUGUGCACACACAUGGCAGUGUGCUGGAAUGAACCGUGUUUUUCCUUAUCAGGUAUAACCAGGGCGCCACGAGGGAACAGCUGUCCAGCCUGCCUGACUCACCAGUGUUGCAAUCUGGGAAGUGUAUUUGGGGCCUGUUUAUCUCUCCCCAGGGCAGGACCAAGCUUGACCAAUGGAGCCUUCGAUCUCAGGAGCAGCUUCUCGAAGGCAAGCAAACAAGUUUGGAGAGAAUAUGCUGCUUUGAGCCAGACACUAAGAGGGAGCAAGAGAAAAGCUAUCAUUUGAUGGACUGAGUAGAAGACCACAGCCCCAGAGCUGCUCUAUCUCCAAAGGUACCUGUUAACACAAGAGCUCUAAAACCAAAAAUGUAAACUCUCUGAAGACAAGGAUUUUGUCUGUUGCAUUUACGGCUCUACAGCCAAUGCCUAGAAGAGCAUGUGGGACACAGUCAAUGCUCAAAUGCUGAAUGAAUACAAGGAAAAAAGGAAGACUCGCCGAAAAGGCAACAAAAUAUUGACAGCGUAAAGCGGUCCCUUGGAAGCUCACAAAGGCCUCCGACCUGGCUGUUCCAGCUUCCUGGAAUGCUCUUCUCAUACAUCCUAAAGGGCAACUCCCUCCUUUCUGCAAUGAGGUCUUUAUUCAGCCGUCCUGUCCUUAAAGAGGCCCUUCCUUCACCACUCCGUGUUAAAAGGUAUACCCCUUACUUUUCUCUUGUUACCUUGCUUUAGUUUUUUGGUAAUAUUUUUAGAUUUUAAUUUUGGAAAUGUUCGAAUAUGCUGAAAAAAAAUGGAGGCAAUAAUACAACGAUCACCCAAAUACCCACCACCCAGAUGUAACAACUGUUAACAUUUUGCCAUAUUUGCUUUAUCUGCUUGAAGGUGUGUGCGUGUGCGUGUGUGUGUGUGUGUGUGUGAAAUGUCUUUUUUUAUUUUUAUUUUUUUCGCUAAACCUUUUGAAAAUAACCUUCAGACACUAUGACACUUCAGCCCUGUAUACUUCAGCAUAUAUACCCUAUAAAUAAGGACAUUUUCCUUUAUAACCAUAUUAUUAUUCUACCUAAGAAAAUGAGCAAUGAUUCCCUAAUUGCCAUCUAAUUUUCAGUCCAUAAUCAGAUUUUUAAAAAUAAAUCUCUUUUUUGGGGGCACCUGGGUGGCUCAGUUGGUGAAGUAUCUGACUCUUGGUUUCA
Long non-coding RNA from Felis catus (domestic cat), 1616 nucleotides. RefSeq lists it as uncharacterized. The record is from RefSeq and is a predicted model, not a curated record. The transcript has 3 exons. NCBI's taxonomy places the organism in Eukaryota, Metazoa, Chordata, Mammalia, Carnivora, Felidae.